AAGGACUCACUCUGAAGACUUUUCCAAACAACACUUUGAACAGGUAAGAUGUAUUCCAAAGAAUUUAACAUAAAGACAGGAAUGAUGAGGUAUGUUCACUCCUAAACUGCACCUGAGUUAUUCUGAUAUGGCUUUUCCUCGAACAUGUGUAUGAACUGCUGCUGGUCGAUGACAAUAUACCUAUAACUUAACAACCUGUAACUCUACUUUCAUAAAUAGGUUUCCCCAUCUCCUCCCAUACCAUGGGCCAGAGGAGCAUGACCACCUGGGUGAGGAGUUUCUGAAUUAUCAGACCAUGCCAACCACCUCCCUUCAGGACGAAACUGAGAUGGAAAGCUUCUGGGCUGGAAUGGCAACACGGAAACAUAAGGUGGCAGGAACUAAAGAAUUUGAGAGGCUUGUUGCCGUCGCCAAGCUGGUCCUGGUGUUGCCCCAUUCGAAUGCAGAUGCUGAGAGGGUGUUUUCAGUGUUCAGUGGGACUGAACAAAACUAAGACCAGAAAUAGCCUGGCAUUGGAUGGCACCCUGUCUUCAAUAAUGGCCAUAAAGAUGGCCGACCUGGAGCCCUGUUUCAGAUGGGAGCCCCCCUCAGAGGUCAUCAAGGCCUCCAAGAAGGCCACAGGCCAGUACAACCUUGCCCACAGAUCUUAGAAAAUGACUAACCAGGUUCUGAUCUGCACCUGAUACCUCAUUUUUAGUUAUUUUUGUCAUGUGUUGAUCUAUUUUAUUGCUUAAA
This is a long non-coding RNA of Clupea harengus (Atlantic herring), 735 nucleotides long. The record is from Ensembl. NCBI's taxonomy places the organism in Eukaryota, Metazoa, Chordata, Actinopteri, Clupeiformes, Clupeidae.